Molecule: ribosomal RNA, 2001 nt
Filed under: Triticum aestivum (bread wheat)
Lineage: Eukaryota; Viridiplantae; Streptophyta; Magnoliopsida; Poales; Poaceae
Description: partial small subunit ribosomal RNA
Source: RNAcentral
UACCCGGGGUUCUCCCUCGAGUUCAAACGUAACCUCAGAAAGACCCUACCCUUCUCGUCGCGACUCCUAAACCUCUUCCAACGGUGGAUGGAGUCCCGGUCGCAGACCUUCUUCUACAGUCUCCGACCCUAAUUCAUGUAAGGGUCGUUGUGGAAGAGUAUGAUACUGGUCCACGAACUGUGUUGUCGGUACGAACCACGACAGGGCCUGGCGAUGAGAACCUGACCGCCGCUCUAACCAGUGUCGUGGAUGAAGAGUUACCGGUCCCCGUUACGGUGGCAGGGACGAUACCGCUGCCGCUUCACCAAACUGUGGUUGAUAGUGAAAUAACAUGGACUUAACUCGGGUCUUUAUUUCAAGAGUAUACGAAGUGUGUUCCGACAGAGACUUAUGUUCCUCCGUUUCCGCGAACCACAACUGUGACAAGGUCACGAACAACCUGGUAAGAGUAUGAACGACGAGAGAUUCCGUCGCCUCCCACACCUCCUUAGUAAGAGAGAGGAUAGUGAAGAACUAUCGUAAGAAGGUUAGAUGUUCCUCCAACAGCGACUCGACUUCCGUCGACCACGAAGUACCUAAGUCAAACUACUCGGGUGGGAACAAAUACUGGAACUACGAAUGCUAAACCGGCGCAAGAGGAGUCGUAUACGAUCGGAACUCAGUCGUGAGAGACCUAACUACAUGAAUAACUCUGUAUGAAGCGGCUACAAGGACGACUUAGAAUGUUCAUGCUGAGAGUGUAGUAACUCACCACACUGACGGAUACCAAAACUAGAACAACUACCUUGGUUCUGUGAACUAGAAUAGUUCUCGCACCCAUAGGGUAGACCUUUCAUGAACAAACGACCACAACAUCUACCUGCCUUGUAAACACGAUUACUAGAACGACGUAGAGAGUCGUGAGAAGUCAAAGAACUCCGACAACAACCGUUCCUGUUCGAACACCACAGGUGGAGGACGAACGACUACAUGCGGGGACAACUAGAGCUCUAGCACUGAUUGGAACUGUCACUCUAAUUUAGCACCGAUCGUAAACGACGGGUUUUCCACCAACUCCACUUACGUGAACGGUUCCGAAACCGACCAGAUUUCCUACUUCGGAUGAAACGCCGGUUACGACGACGAGUCCGAAGGAAACCCGGUUACAACUCCAGUAGUGGGUCUCACUUUUUACUCCUCCAAGUCUUCCGACGAAGACGAAACUUCCGGCUGGUGUCGGCACGAUGGGGAGCUAGAUAAUCUGGCAAUGUAUAUCUCAAGUUUUUUUGAGCGGCGAGCAUGGUUUUUAACUACUGCUAACGUCGUCUUUACUGGAGCGGUUAAAGAGUCAAGAGUGUUCGUUACUUCCUUUUCUACCACCAUCGUUUUUUUUGAAACGGUUAACAUCGUUUUUAACUACUUCUAUCGUCGUUUUGUCUGGGUGUUAAAGAGUACGUGCUACUUCUUGUUCUACCUUCUCUAUUCAACUCCUAUCUCGCCACGCACGAACUCCAUCUGCCGAGGAGCACGCACGCUACCUAGCUUGCGGAGCGUGCACUGGCCGAAUUUCAAGGCGGCCAGACGGCCGGUGUUCGCAAAAGGAAUAAUAAAACCACCAUAGGUCGGUGGCUCUGUCUCCUAAGUGAAUAGUGCGUGAAACGAGACGGUUCUCGCUCUUCCGGUUGGUUGAGCGACCGGCACCACGAACGGGAACGGCUCCGGUGGGAGCGAGGUCGCGACGGCAGGCGCGGCGAGGCGACCUCUGCGGUAGGUCCCGCGAGUCGUGUGGAGACCUGCACCGGAAAUGCGGCUGCGAGCGCGAGGGGGCGCCGCCGAGUUUCGACGGACGCCGCCUCCGCAGCCACGCACCGCGCCGAAGUGAACGGGCGGGUAUCGCGGUCCGAAGUACGCGCGCACUGCGCCGGGACCGGUCAUACGGUUUCGCCGCCGCUACCAUUACCACAAAAGAGGGGCAACCUUGGCGUGCACUCUUUGUGUCUCUAUUGGAAUAGAGAAACGAUC